This 448-nucleotide ribosomal RNA is filed under the name uncultured bacterium. RNAcentral's name for it is "bacterial SSU rRNA". It matches the Rfam family "Bacterial small subunit ribosomal RNA", at positions 335 to 799 of the family's 1533-position model. The record is from RNAcentral.
ACUCCUACGGGAGGCAGCAGUGGGGAAUAUUGCACAAUGGGCGCAAGCCUGAUGCAGCAACGCCGCGUGAGCGAUGAAGGCCUUCGGGUCGUAAAGCUCUGUCCUCAAGGAAGAAUAAAUGACGGUACUUGAGGAGGAAGCCCGGCUAACUACGUGCCAGCAGCCGCGGUAAUACGUAGGGGGCAAGCGUUAUCCGGAAUCACUGGGGCGUAAAGGGUGCGUAGGCGGUUUUCAAGUCAGAAGUGAAAGGCUAUGGCUCAACCAUAGUAAGCUUUUGAAACUGUUAAACUUGAGUGCAGGAGAGGAAAGUGGAAUUCCUAGUGUAGAGGUGAAAUUCGUAGAUAUUAGGAGGAACACCAGUGGCGAAGGCGACUUUCUGGACUGUAACUGACGCUGAGGCACGAAAGCGUGGGGAGCGAACAGGAUUAGAUACCCUGGUAGCAGAGAG